AUUCAAAUGUCUUUUUGUGGUUCCAAUGGCCACUUUCUUAAUCAAAUUUUCCAUAACCUUUAGCUAUUAGGUUUGAGUUAUCCUUGUGGUAGAUGUAAUACUCAACCAUAUCAUCCUUAGUGAUGGACAAUGAGUCUUCCAUGCUUAUAUAGGGUUAACCCCUCACUAGCAUGUUGAAGUUAUCCUCACAUGGUGGAUUUGUGGUUUGGUUGAGUUUUUCUCCCUUUGAUAACAAAAGACCUUAAGGCUUUUGGACCAAUCAAUUCACCAACUCAUUUUUGAGAUUUUUACCUCCCGAACUACGAGGUUUGAUCCUAAUCUUUUUUAAGAUGGUACGUAGGCAAUGGAUUCAUCCAUCCAAACACAAAAUGUAAAUAAACUUGUACAUUCUCCUCUCAUCUCUUCAAUCAUGUUUGCACAAAUAAAUUUUCACAAAACAACAACCUUGCAACAAGUAUGAAAAGGGCUCCCUAGGAGUACCUAGGAUGUUUUUGGUGCCAUAACAGCUUCCAUAGCAUAACCAACCCCCUUACCCAGAUCUCUGUUCUCUUUUACUAGUUUUUGUUAAAACUUUUAGGUUUUUGUUCGCUUUCUAACCAUUCCUUUGGAUAAAUAGAAGUGUGGUGGCGACUCGACAUGUAUGGUUUACCUUGGAUUUAGUCAAUAUCUCUAAUGGUAACGAAUACCCCGCUACAGAUCCCUUUAUGACUAAAAUGUGACAUAGAAUUUAACCAUUUCCUUACCAUUUUAGGACUUAUACAUAGGUUCAUUAAUCAAUAUUUUGACCAAUAUCAUGCAUGAUCCCUUAGGGUGAUUUCUAACAAUUACUAACUUUGAUUAGAAUUACCUAGUUCCCUAAAAACAAAACAAAACCCAUGAUGAAAUUGAUCAAAAGAAAUUUUGAUUGAUUAAAUCCUUUGAACUUGUAUAAUCCCACAGUCUAAAUUGAGUGACCAAAAGACCCUUGGUCACUUAAUAAGAGUUUUCUUCCAAGAUGUUGAGCUCAAGGCCUCAAGACAAGAUCUUCAAUUAAGGCAUCCUCAAUUAUACCAAGCAACGGAUUAUUCAAGCAUAUCAAAGGUGGCAUCUUCAACAACUUGUUAAAUCAAAGUUAGAAGUGUGUGACACGAGCCUUAUGCCAUAGAGAAGGAGUGGGACUGGAGUAUUCCUACCCCCAUUCUGAGUAUCUUUAGGUAUGGGACGUAUGACCCAUCGCUCAUCGUAUUCACCUCUAUUCAUAGACUUUAGCACAAUCCUAACCAUACGAUUGACAAGUCUCUCCCUUCACAAAGCAAAAACAACAGGAAAGGACAACAUCAACCACUUAUCAAUCAUGAAUCAAGUUGUACGAUACGAGCCUUAAGUAAUGAAGAAGGAGUGGGACUGGAGUAUUCCUACCCCCAUUCUAAGUAUCUUUGGGUAUGGGACGUAUGACCCAGCGCUCAUUGUAUUCACCUCCAUUUAUAGACUUUAGUGCAAUUCGAAUCAAACGAUUGAUAAGGUUUUCAUCAUCAAUACAAGACACAACUACAAGAUUCUUCUCUCUCCACUUGAAAGUUGAGACGAGAGUUGCAUGCCACGAGCCUUAAGUGGUAAAGAAGGAAUGAGAAUGGAGCUUUCCUACACUCAUUCUAGAUAUCUUUGGGUGCGAGACGUUUGGCUCAUUGCUUAUCGUAUCCACAUUUACCCAUAGAUUUUAGUGUGACUCUCAUCCAGUAACUAUCAAGUAUCUCCAUUCCAUUCAAAUCAAUCAUCCCUUUCUUCUUGCCUCUAUUCAAUUUGUUUUCAGCCCUAGUGGGUUGAACUAUGAAAACUCUGAUUUCCUUAUUGCACUAUAAGGAUACGUAGGCAAGAGAACCCAGUUUCUUCGUGAGCUACCCUAUUUAUCAAUCAAUCAUUCUCCAUUCAUUCUAUCAAUACCAUCUCUUUGAGAUUAAUCAUACUUCUCCUUGGACUCCUUGUCUAUCCUUUUAGGACGAUAACGACAGUCCGCCUCCUCAAUCUAGAGUUGUUUGGCCCGUAACCCAAACAUUUAAUUCAAUAUUUCUUUUUGGCUUUACCUUAUAGUGGCAGCCUGCUAGUCCACAUAUUGGUAAAUGCCUACCCUGCUCUUCGAUUAAGAGUCUAUCCUUCCCUUGGAUCUAAUCUACUAUCCUUAUUUGAUCUCAAAUUAUUGAUUCCCUUGCAAGUGAUACAGUACUCCUUGCACUCCAGUACUACCAUCCUCCCUUGAAGAUGCGUUUGUCUUGUGAGUCCCCAUUGCUUAGACAAAUAUGUCUUUCUCUCUAUUCUCGUAGUUCCGAACUAUGAUUGCUCUGACUUUCUCAUUGCCUAAUGAGAAUACGUAUGGAUGAAGAUACGGAUCCUUGGCGAGCAUACUUCUAAUUAUUCCUCCUUCGCCUUAGGCCAUCAUUCAUAUAUUUCACUAUUCAUUAUCUACCUUCGAUCAUAAAUCGUUCACUCAGUGACACACUGUCUUUUUGACCUCGAAAUACACUUUCCUUGGAAUUCUGUAUACAUCCUUUUAGGAUGCCUAACGAAUAGUCUGCUUUUAUACCUAGAGUUGUUUGGCCCUUAACCCAAACAUUUAAUUCCUUCUUUUUAGCUAACACCCUGUAGUGGUUAAAGCUAUUUCCCUCUAGGGUAAAAAUCUCAUUUCUCUUAUGGAUCCCAAUAUACUUUCACCUUUAGAUUUCAAACAAUACUUAUUCAGUCACUUGUUACCAAGUUCCCCAAUUAUGUGACUUCGGUCACUUCACUCCUUCCAUCUCCAUGAUGUAUUCAUUAUUCUACCUUCAUUCACUUCAUGUGAUAUACCUAUUCUCUGAGCCAACUACACGAUACCUUUGUGCUCCAUCUUGUAUCUCCUUGUGAACCAAAAGUUGUUUGGACCUUAACCCAAACACCUAAUUCAUUAUAUUUUUGGUCGUUCCAAUACAAUGAUACAGCGCUGUAGGCCCUCACUAGUUGGUUCAUACUUGUUUACUCUUGGGUUCAUCUUUCACCCUUGUUGGAGUUCAAACAACAUUAUUCUUUGGUUCAGACCAUAUUUCUAUCACACUUCUUUUCAUCUCCCACUUCUAGUUCUUCGAACUACGGAGCUCUGAAUUCGUCAUUGGACUAUGAGGAUACGUAGGCAUGAGGGCCCCAAUCCUCACCGAGCAUUUUAUCUAUUCUUUUUCUUCCCCAUUCUUUGCGAGUAAUCUUUAGUUAUCACCUAUUCGAGCGAGAACAAUCCAAACGGUUCCCAUGGAUGUUUGGGAUGCUAAUACUUUCCCCUUGCAUAACUGACUUCCUUACCUAGUAUAUCUCUUUCCCUGGGUUUUAUCGAUGUUUUCCUUUCCCUUUGGGGAUAAAUAAAGUUCGAUGGCGACUCUGUUGUAUGUUCAAGCAUGUGAUAUGUUCGGGUAUAUUUCCGCUAGCUUCAGUAAGUGUCAGCAAGAAUAGUAGGAACAAAAUUCUGAGUUAAAAAGAUGUGAAUAGCAGCCAGAUCCACAAAUUCUUCCAUGUUCGAAAACAGUAGGAUCCCAUAGAUAAGUAGAGCUAGAAUGGCAUUGAAAGUCGUCCAACUUUCAGCGUCUGUAAAGGUAGUAGCCUUAUCCAUGAGAAACUUUAAGGUAAAACCAUGAGUUCCACCCUUAGGGAGUUCCUUAGUGCAAACAUAAGGCACGCGGUUCUUAAUACCAAUACCCAGAAUAUGUGAAUACUCUUCCAAUGUGGGUGCCAACUGAUAAUCUUGGAAAGUAAAGCAUCUCAAUGGAGGGUCAUAGAAUUUCACCAGAGUGUGCACAACAAUUGUAUUGACUUCAAUGUUCAAGAUUCCUAGGAGGUUACCAUAAGACUUCUUGAAUUCAUCUCAGUUUCCAAGAAUUAGACGUGUCCCUAGUCCUCUCAAAACAAUCAACUAAGGCUCCACAAACUUGUAACUGUGAGUGCUUUUUCUCUCAGAAGUCAUGCUUCGUCUCAAAUGCUUAGUAAACAAAUUGAGCUCUUGGAUUCCUGGAAAAUAAAUGCCUAUGAAAAUAUAUUUAUCAUGAUGAAUGAUAAUACAUGAUGAAAUGAUAUAGAUCAUGCAGGUUCAAAACUCUGAUACAUUCUGAAUAAUCUGUAUACGCCAAUUGCUGUAAGUUCAAAAGUUCGACGCAAUAUGAGUGUCAAGGUAGGUAGAGUCUAUGUUUUCCUACAAAAAACCAUAUCCCCCUCACAGGUAUGGACUAUGCUCCAAGGUGGUCCCUAGAAGGUCUCCCAGAGUCAUCGACUCGAAAUGAAAAUACCCUGCCGUAAUGAAUGCUCACAGGACCAAAAUACUUCCAAGUGAAUUCAGUCUGGGUGUGGUUCUCGUGACAACCCAAUGCGCGAAACGCAGGUGUGCACGACUAUCCAUGAGUCUAUCCUAUAUGUAUACUAAGCUCGGGUAUAGAGCUUCAUUCAUAUAGUAUCAACCCCAUCCCAAUAAUAACAUAUAUAGAUAUCCAAUGUAAUAGAGAAUGCACAAAUGUAAGGAAGUAAAGUAAAUGAUGAAUAAUAUAAAGUGAGUAAGGCAUAAAGAUAAACAUCUAAAACUAGCGAGAAAACAACCUAAACUAGGCUCGACUCCUAUUAGAGACUAGGAAGUACUCCAAGCAACGAAGCAUCCACAACAGAGUCGCCAGCUAAAGCUGGAGGAAAUAUACCCGAACAUAUCGCAUGCUCGAACAUACAACAGAGUCACCAUCGAACUUUAUUUAUUCCCGAAGGAAAGGGAAAACAUCGAUAAAACCUGGGGUAAAAAGAUAUGUUGGGUAAGGAAGUCGAUUAUUCCAGGGGAAUGUGUCAUACCCCAAUUUUGUCCGGGCAUAUUUAAAUUUUUGUAAAAUCGAUUUCAUUUUUAAUUUGCAUCAUAUGCACGGCAUGACAUGCAUUCCAUCAUGAAUAAUACUUAAAAUAUCGGUCGGAAUAAAUUUAUUGAAAAUACAGACAAAUCAGUUAAAUCGUUUCUCAAUAACGUGCAAAAAUCAGCGGGUAAAAAGUUUCAAAAUUAAAAUUGAAGACGCCAGUAUCAUUAAUCUACGGUUCAUGCAGUUUAACCUGAUGUGCUUGUUAUAUUUUUCAGCGGCUGUUUUGGUUGCGUUUGGAACCGCCUGAGCCUUUUAACCGGUGCGAAUUUAUUUCAGAAUUUGAAGAAGCGCUGUAUUUUUUCAAUAAGUAUAUUUUAUGCUGAUCAUUUUAGUGCGUCUGAUUUAAUUUUUCGAGCAAAUUCACAUCCGACUUCUAUUUAUAAUCAAUCCUGUUAUUUCUUUGUUUUAAUGUCCAAAUAAGAGAUUUGUUUUAUUAUUAUCAUUUUCUAAAUUAAAUUACUGUCUAAGAAUUUUUAAUGAAUAUUUUUUUAAUAAUAGAAUUAUUAAUAAAUAAAAGGAAAAUUAAAUUAAAAGAAAACUAUUUUCCUCUUCUUCUAACACGUUACCUCACCAAAAUCUUCUAAUAAGAUUUCCUCUCCCUACACACUACAUUCUCCAACGUCUCACUCUCCUCACAGUACCUUCACUCUCUCUUACAAACAGUAACAAAAAGAAAUAAAUAGAAAGACCUCAGACCUCACUCAUGGAUUCAUUCACUACACGCCACCCACCAAAUUACCUCACGCUUCCCACAUGUCCCUCAUCUACACGCCACCUAUCACCUUGUCAUUCACGUUGACCAUACGUGACUCUCUCUCACCAAUACCCUUCAUUUAAGACACUCUCACAAAAUCACUCUUGGCUUUUCUGUCACCACUAGCUCACGAAAAAGGAAAAGGAAACAGAAACAAGAAAUUAAAAGCACUCCUCUUCUUCUUGAAAAAAGGCAUCCACCACACGCUCUCCUUCCCCUUCUAAUGGCCGCCGGCCAUCCAUAACAAAUGACAUUCGUCCGCAUCUCCGUUCUUUUUUAACCACAAUACAACCUCCACUGCGUUUUCCUCCAUAAACCGUUGACCGUGAGGCCACAGCUUCCACUCACCCAUCAUCUUCCUCCGCCUCACAACAACCUCACGAAGCACCCUUUAACACCACACAAAACUCCCUUUUCAACCGCCGUGAAUCGCCACCACUACCACUAUGUCGUCGCAUCAUCGCUUAACCACCGUCAAUUUUGAACCAUCCGCCGUCUUCCUCAUCUAUUCCGGCGAUAAAUUCCAAACCUCACCGCCGCGUCAAUAACCAAACUCCUUCACACUCAGGCGAAUCCACAUCUAUUCACCGACAUCGCUGCCGCCAUGGUUCGCUCUUCUAAAUUCACCACAACCAACCGCGACGCAAAUUCUCUCUUCCCCAACUGGCGAAACCAAGCAAUAAACCUUCCAACUCCGCAGCGACAAUAAACGACAGCAGUGACACCGCUUCGGUAAUAUCAAUUUCGUAUGCUUGUGGUGUUGUGAUUUUGAGAUUAACUCUGUUAUUACAUUAAAUUUUUAUUGAUUUCUGUUAUGUCAUAAACUGUUGCAAGUAUUAUAGAGUGUGGAAUUUUUGAGAUUGAUUCUAUUAGGUAGCGUUUUUUGAAUAUGACUAUGGCCUCAUUGUUUUCUACUGGUUUCCUAUUGUGUUCUAGUUUGUAAAUUGUCUUACCAAGGUGUUGUUGUAACCAACUUUAGAAGGCUUUUGUUAAUAUGAUAAUUUGAAUUGCUACUUGCAUUUGUCAUGUCCAGUUGGUUUUCUGUUUGGAGAAGUGGUUCUUAUGGGCAAGGCUUUUGUUUAUUGUUAUAUCCAAUAUUUUUUAAUGUUAUUCUCUUUACGUUCCACUAAUCGCAUCAUGUUGAUUUCAUAGACAUAUUAAACUUCAUAUUGAGUUGUAUUGAAGCAGUUUGGAAUUGAUUGCAAUGAAUUUGUUACAUGUUUAAUGCUAUUAUUUUCUUGCUGCGGGAUUAAAGUGGUUUAGCGUUACGGUAAUAGUUUGUGUUGCGUUUUCCUUGAUAUUACGUUGUUUGUUAUAGCCACUGUUUUGAUUUAGAUUUGGUUACAUUAAUCUAUGUUGAUUGUUGGUAUUAAAAUGUCGUAAUGUUCUUUUCCGGGGUAUUUUUGAUGUGAUUGUGUUGUUGUUGUUGCGUGUUGAAGUUGUUGCGUGUAAAAUCAAAUAUCAUUCGCAGCUUUAAUGCGUAAAAUGUUUCGAUUAUAUUUCUGUUUCAAUUACAUACUUACUUCAUUUCCAAUUCGGUUAUACUGUUUUGGGAAUUCGAUAUUGGUAUUGUAAUGUUGAAGAUAUUGUGUUACCGUAUUGUUGAUUGUGUAUCAGUUUGCGUAUUCGUAUUUGUUUCACUUACAGCUUUACGAACUCUUAAGUUGUUAUUGGUUAUGUCGUCCGUCUACUGGGAUUUAGUAUUCAAAAUGGGUGUAUAUGCGAUUGGUAGUACAUUUUGGGUGGCAAUUUGAUUUGAAGCUUUUGUUUUACUAUAUGUAUUUCACUUUGUGCUUCAAUUCAUGUGGUAUUUUAUCCUUAAGAGAGAAGCUUGUUUUCUUAUUAAAUAUUUCUAAACAUAUGCGUGAGAAUGGCAGGGAAAUGUUGUGUUCUAAAUAUUUAUUUAUUUUUGUUUCUAGUUAUGAAAGUGGGUGUUAGGUGUUAAUGGAUAUAUGGUGACUUAUUCGAAUUUUGACCAAACGUUAGAUUUUUUUAGAAUUAGUGUCCCCUAUCUUGAUUGCAUGAUUACUUCUAUUUUAUUUAUUUCAUUCAUUCAAUCUGGUAUUCAGAAAUAGUAUUUUGGACUACUUGGUAUUUGUCUACAAGUCCAUUACCAUGAACACCCACUUUUCGGUGUGUUAAAUUUUCUGUAUGAAUUGGGUCUUUAAAUCAAUAUUAACACAUAUUUUCAUUCUU
This 7827-nucleotide long non-coding RNA is filed under the name Lathyrus oleraceus (garden pea). RNAcentral's name for it is "Pisum sativum (pea) long non-coding RNA (PSAT_LNC030127)". The record is from RNAcentral. Lineage: Eukaryota; Viridiplantae; Streptophyta; Magnoliopsida; Fabales; Fabaceae.